CCUCUGCCUUCAUUACUACAUAUUCAUUUUCUUUUACAUUAUUUUUUAACCAAUCAGACAAGCUAAUAAUCAUUGGUAUCUCCUUCUCAGAUGAUUCUUUUGUCACAGUCUGAAUCUUGAUUAUCUCAAAUUUUGUGUUUUUUGUAGGAUAAUAUUUUGAAAACCAAUCUGACCCUUCAUUCUUGUCUUGUAAACCAACAUCAAUAAAGACUCUUCUUGGGUAACUUUCAAGGGAAACACCCAUUAAAUCUGGUAAAUAACGAGUCCUUUUUAGAUAUCUACUUGAUUUUCCUGAUGCUGCUCUUGGUGGUUCAAGUAGUACAUCUUCUAGAUUCUUUAGUGCUGCCUCUUUUGCAUUUGUUUUCUUCGCUUUAGGCCUCCGAUAUUCUAAAUCACCUGGUCUGAUCAAUUUGAAUUUGUGCAGGCUUGGCCGACUAAGGGAAGUAAAGUAUUUCCUACCAAAAAGCUUUUCAUUCUCAAGGUUUGGACCCGAAAUCUCUCUUGCAUUUGUUGUAAGAGU
RNAcentral lists this long non-coding RNA (520 nucleotides) under Nicotiana benthamiana. RNAcentral describes it as "long non-coding RNA (NBEN_LNC017199)". The record is from RNAcentral. Lineage: Eukaryota; Viridiplantae; Streptophyta; Magnoliopsida; Solanales; Solanaceae.